Molecule: RNA transcript, 3876 nt
Organism: Artibeus jamaicensis (Jamaican fruit-eating bat)
Lineage: Eukaryota; Metazoa; Chordata; Mammalia; Chiroptera; Phyllostomidae
Gene: TAF7
Gene name: TATA-box binding protein associated factor 7
Exons: 5
Source: RefSeq, a predicted model, not a curated record
GGCCCGCCCGGCGCCGUGACGUAACGCUUUCUUUUCCUCUUGGUAUGCAUCCUGGGGCAGAGGGCUGCGGAGCUUGGAGCUGCAAAGACUUCAGGUCGCGCGUCUCGGGCCAUUUCACUGCUAAUCAGUACGGGAUCUCUUUGCCAAGAGUGGGGAGGAACAAAGGAGUAAGGAAGGAGACCGUGAGCCGCCGGUCGCCGGCCGCCGUGCUCCGAGUGGCUUUUUCUUCGCUCCUGUCCGGAGAAGCGGGCUUUACAGUCGUCACUGGAUUGAUCCGCCAUUUGCUUCCUGCUCGCUAGCUCUCCGCAUUGUCCGGCAGCGGCAUCUAGAGGUUGGAACUUGGCAUUGCAGCUAAUAUAUUUAAAUGGACCUGAAUAUACCAGUGUCUUUAACAACUGGUAUUCAGUCACUGCACAUUUAAAAAGACUUGGUGCUUAUUUCAAAAUUAAGAAAAUAGACUCUUAUCUGCUGUAGUACUUAAAUAUUUCAACCAAUUACAAACUGGUCCUUCAGACUGUUGCAACAGCUGGAACUUUAUAGUGCAACAAGUGGUUAUUGGAGAAGUGAGUCUCAAAGAAAUAAAGAUGAGUAAGAGCAAAGAUGAUGCUCCUCACGAAUUAGAGAGCCAGUUUAUCUUACGUCUGCCUCCGGAAUAUGCUUCUACUGUGAGGCGGGCAGUACAGUCUGGUCAUGUCAACCUGAAGGACAGACUGACAAUAGAGUUACACCCGGAUGGGCGUCAUGGAAUUGUCAGAGUGGACCGGGUUCCACUGGCCUCAAAAUUGGUAGAUCUACCAUGUGUUAUUGAAAGUUUGAAAACUAUUGAUAAAAAAACUUUUUACAAGACAGCAGAUAUCUGUCAGAUGCUUGUAUCCACAGUUGAUGGUGACCUCUAUCCUCCAGUCGAGGAACCAGUUGCUGCUACUGCUGCUGCUGCAGCUACUGCUGCUGAUCCCAAAGCAAGCAAAAAAAAGGAUAAGGACAAAGAGAAAAAGUUUAUAUGGAACCAUGGAAUCACUCUGCCUCUAAAAAAUGUCAGAAAGAGAAGGUUCCGGAAGACAGCAAAGAAGAAGUAUAUUGAAUCUCCAGAUGUGGAAAAAGAAGUGAAGCGUUUGCUGAGUACAGAUGCUGAAGCUGUUAGUACUCGUUGGGAAAUAAUUGCUGAAGAUGAAACAAAAGAAACAGAAAAUCAAGGCCUUGAUAUCUCUUCUCCAGGAAUGUCAGGCCACAGGCAGGGCCAUGACUCAUUAGAACAUGAUGAGCUUCGGGAGAUAUUCAAUGACCUCAGCAGCAGCAGUGAAGAUGAAGAUGAGACACAGCAUCAAGAUGAGGAAGAUAUCAACAUCAUCGACACAGAGGAAGAUCUGGAAAGACAGCUACAGGACAAGCUAAAUACAUCAGAUGAACAGCACCAAGAAAAUGAAGGAACCAGUCAGCUAGUUAUGGGAAUUCAGAAACAGAUUGAUAACAUGAAAGGAAAGCUCCAAGAGACCCAGGACAGGGCAAAACGACAGGAAGAUCUCAUCAUGAAAGUGGAAAACCUGGCUCUCAAGAACAGAUUUCAGGCUGUGCUAGAUGAACUCAAACAAAAGGAAGACCGAGAAAAGGAGCAGCUCAGCUCUUUGCAAGAAGAGCUAGAAUCACUCCUAGAGAAAGAGAGGGGAAGGGAAGGAGAAAGAAACAUGGAUCUAUCGUUGCAGGCACCUGGCCCACAACCCAGAUCCAGAAGAAAUGGCCCAGAAGUCUCUGAGAGACUUUUUAGAAGUUUUUAUAUUGUUUCAGUCUUGGAACUGUCGUCUAAGCCUGGGACCUGCCAUGAGCUCCACCAUCCACAGUAUUCUCAGCUCCCUUCUAGUGCCAGCACUUAAACACUGGAUCCUCAUCAAUGGACUAGCAUCUUCUUGCCAGUCACCCUCUUCAAGGUUGGUAGUGGUCAUCAGCACUGAUGCUCUGUUCAUUGCAUGAAGCUUAAUGGCUUUUUCAAAACCAUAUCAGAACAUUUGGUAUUAGUGGCUUUAGUCUGCACCUUGAGAUGGAAAAUUUCACGGGUGGGUAAGUAGCUUUGUAGAAAAUUGACCCCUCUAAACAAUCUUGCAUAUUCUGUGAGUGAAAAAAAUGUCCCCAAAAGAUAUUUGUUUCUCCAGGUAAGUGUCUAUACAGUGAGUAUUUCUACUCCAACCCAAAGGAGUUUCACUGGGCCCUCCUCAGCAACCUGGACUCUCAGCAGACAUUAACUAGCGCAUCUUUCCACAUACCUUGCUCACUGAUUUAUAUACAAAUAGCUCUCUGUGCAUUCAGAGGAAAGGCUCCUUUCUGCCUUUGGAGAAUUGGAGAAAUGGCAGAUGGGCUCUUUUCUAGCCAGUGCUCAGGUUCCUGAUCUUGGUUCUUAGAAAUACUGUCCCUAAAAAGCCUUCCUCAUCUUCUCAGCACUAAAUAUAGGAAUCUCCUCAGGCUCAUGUGCCCACAAAGUCCACACAGCAAGAUGAGUCUUCUGUUCCAAGUCUGGAGACUGCCAUGGUACCAAUUCUGUCUUUGUAAUGAAGUACAAGAUUUUAGCAUACACUGGCUUUUAUUUUUCUACUUUUUGCUUCUGCUUUUAUGUUUGCUUCUCCACUUUGCUUUGCUGUCUGGGAUAAAUCUUAAAAAGUCUCUGUCUCUCACACACACACACACACCCACACACACAGAUCUACUCUCUUAGUAACUUUCAAAUAUACAAUACAGUACUGUUCCUCAGGACUUACCUUUUCCACUUUUUUAUGGUAUCUAUUGAUAGUCAAAGUCUUUGAUUUUAAUACAGUCAAAUUUAUUCUUUAUUAAUCCUUUAUUCUAUGGUCAAUGUCUUCUUAGAGAAAUAAUUUCUACACCCAAGGCCUAAACUUUGUUUACCUAUAUUUCCUACUAAGAGUUUUAAAGGCUUUUUUUUUUUACAUUUAAGUCUUAGAUCAACUUGGAGCUGAUUUUAACAUUAAGAUCUAAUUUAAUCUUUUUGUGUAUGAUUAACUAUUUUUAAUUGAACAUUUCAUCUUUCCUCCAUAUGAUGGUGAAGUAGGGCCUUUGGGAGGUAACUAGGUCUGGAGCACUUUGCAGGGGUAGAGCUUCAUGUUGAAGUUGGUGCCUUUAUAAGAAGAGGACAAAACACCAGAGCUGCUUCCCUCAGCCUUGCCAGGAUACAGAGAGAAGCCUGCAGUCUGCAAGCCAGGAAAAAGGCCCUCGUCAAGAACCGGAUCUGUUGGCACCUUGAUCCUGGAAGUGCUGAGCCAACCAGCCAAUUCAUUUGUCACUGUUCAUCUAUCUACAGGGUCCGGCAGAAGUAACACCUGCUUGAGUGUGGUUGGUAGAGUAACAGUAUGGUUAUAAUAAUUUGUAAUUUUAAUUUGAACAUUUUACCUAAAAUAUCAUAUGAUGUGCUUGAGUGUGAUAUUGUUAUAUUACAGUAUUACAUGCUUAUGAUUUUAUAAUAAAAAGGGGCGUUAUUUGUGCUGGACCCUGUAUAUAUAUUCAUAGCUCAGACCACUUCUCUUCCCAUUAAAAGGGAUGGCAAGUGUAGUGCUUACAGUUGUACUUAUUUGAAAGGGUGGUCUUUUAAGGCCACUCUUGAGUAGGCCUAUAAUUCAGCAGUUAAACAUUGUUGGCUUGAACCAGCCAUCUGUGAACUUGGGCCAAGAUCUUUUCUCCUCUGCAACUGGUCUAGAGAAUCUUUCUGUGAAACUGUAGGUGUGAAUUAGGACUUUGGUGCAAUAGAAGUAGGUGCAAUGAGAAUCAGGAUUACCUGUUCAUGAAACUCCUGAACCUUCUUGGAGCCAAUUCUGAAUUUACUAUUUCUAUUAUGUAAGGUUUUCUCUUGUACCAAUGAUGACGGCAUAGUCAUUUGGU